UAUAUAUAUAUAUAUAUAUAUAUGCAGUAUAUAAAGAGGAAAUGUCUUAACCGUUUUUGUUUAAUUACACUGGAUAUAAAUGCAGUAUUUGUUGUACAGCUCAACACUGUACUUUAACUUCAUCCUGUUUGGAGUUGGAUUGUGUCACAUGAUCAAAGGGUUUACGGUGCACACAUUAACACGGUAUUUUCACAUAAACCUGUAUCUGCAAACCUAUAAAGAAAUAGCCAUCACAGUGAAAGACUUAAAGCACAAAUGCUAUUCUUAUUUUUUACCUUUAUUUUCAGGUCCUUCUUUGUUUGUAUUGAAAUUAUCAGCUUGUUUUUACAAAUUAUAAAAUUAUCGCACCAUAUGAUCUUGUUUCAAUGUUGAGGUAAAAUGAAAAUGGCUUAGAAGUAUAUUUAUUCUCUUCCUUUAUGAAAAUAGUGUAAAAAAACAGCUGAAUCUUGUAAAACAGAAUAUGUGGCUUUUACUUGAAUGAGACACAGUAUAGUUGUUAAUGUUGUCGGGUUCAUUUCGAAGCACCAACUGUCUUUUUUUAAUUAGUCAAAAAUGUACCUUAAAAGAUCAGUGUUUGCAAUCAAAUUACUUACUUUAUAAAACAGAGAGGGUGUGAACAAAUGUAACUAUUCUAGAACAGAAUUGGUGUGUGUAUAUUUGGAGAAAAUAGCAAACCUUUUUGUUCUGUAGAGCCGGUGUGUCGUCAGUAUUUGCACACGCGUGUUUGACGAUGUGCAGAGAGUAUGAUUGUGCUGCAUGUCAAAAUUAACUUGUAUUAUUUUGCGGUGGCCAUUUUACAGAUAUUCAUACUUUUUAAUCAGUGGAACCACUUUUCCAGACUUCCUACAGCUUAUUUAUUUGAAUCAAGUUGCUGAUGAAAACAGUUGCAAUACUUAUUGUGGUGACAUUCUGCAGUUGCGAAGCAGUUAAAGGGGACUUUCAACAUUUUUCAACCUGUUGUGGGUUUAUUUUUUCACUGGGGGAGGACAUUAAUUUGCUAGUAAUUGUGAAAGCUAAAAACACUCAGUAAACCACUACUUGACAUCACUGAACAGGCACAAAAUUUAUUCUAUUCAUUUAUAUAG
This is a long non-coding RNA of Thalassophryne amazonica, 1085 nucleotides long. RefSeq lists it as uncharacterized. The transcript is spliced from 3 exons. Lineage: Eukaryota; Metazoa; Chordata; Actinopteri; Batrachoidiformes; Batrachoididae. The record is from RefSeq and is a predicted model, not a curated record.